Molecule: ribosomal RNA, 882 nt
Filed under: uncultured Bacteroidota bacterium
Lineage: Bacteria; Pseudomonadati; Bacteroidota
Description: bacterial SSU rRNA
Rfam family: Bacterial small subunit ribosomal RNA
Source: RNAcentral
UGGCUCAGGAUGAACGCUAGCUACAGGCUUAACACAUGCAAGUCGAGGGGCAGCAUCGCGAUAGCUUGCUAUUGCGGAUGGCGACCGGCGCACGGGUGAGUAACGCGUAUCCAACCUUCCCGCAACUGGGGAAUAACCUUGCGAAAGUAAGACUAAUACCCCAUGGUCUCCACGGAUGGCAUCUGAAAUGGAGUAAAGGUUCCGGCCGGUUGCGGAUGGGGACGCGUCCGAUUAGCUUGACGGCGGGGUAACGGCCCACCGUGGCAUCGAUCGGUAGGGGUUCUGAGAGGAAGGUCCCCCACAUUGGAACUGAGACACGGUCCAAACUCCUACGGGAGGCAGCAGUGAGGAAUAUUGGUCAAUGGGCGGAAGCCUGAACCAGCCAAGUAGCGUGAAGGACGACUGCCCUAUGGGUUGUAAACUUCUUUUAUGCGGGGAUAAAGUUCGCCACGUGUGGCGUUUUGCAGGUACCGCAUGAAUAAGGACCGGCUAAUUCCGUGCCAGCAGCCGCGGUAAUACGGAAGGUCCAGGCGUUAUCCGGAUUCAUUGGGUUUAAAGGGAGCGUAGGCCGCCUUUUAAGCGUGUUGUGAAAUGUAGGGGCUCAACCCCUGCACUGCAGCGCGAACUGGAGGGCUUGAGUACACACAAAGUAGGCGGAAUUCAUGGUGUAGCGGUGAAAUGCUUAGAUAUCAUGAAGAACCCCGAUUGCGAAGGCAGCUUACUGGAGUGUAACUGACGCUGAAGCUCGAAAGCGCGGGUAUCGAACAGGAUUAGAUACCCUGGUAGUCCGCGCGGUAAACGAUGGAUGCCCGCUGUUUGCCAAUUUGGUAAGCGGCCAAGCGAAAGCGUUAAGCAUCCCACCUGGGGAGUACGCCGGCAACG